AUUACAGAUAGAAAGAGCUAAUUUGCAAUGAAAAAAUAAUUAAAAUUAAAUCUAUACAAAUGUGGAUGCAAGAUUGAAAAUUGAAAACAAAACAACGGAAAUUUAAAAAAGCAGCAGAGAAUGCAAGUUAACCCUGGCGCAUAAAUUAGUAAAAUAAUUGUAAACUGAAAUCAACUGCAGCGCUGCGAAGUUGUAUGCAAUUUUGCAAUUAUCGCUUUUUAUUUCCAACCACCGCCAUAUCAGUGGCGAAUUACCGACAAACAUACAAAACACAGCACGCUUGCGCACAUUUUCUGAGUGAUUGUGAAUAUAAAAUGUUUAUCUGUACAUGUGUGUGUAAGUACGAUUACACGGCUUUUGAGAUUGUUGAUUGCAAUUGCAAAAAUAGAACCAAACGAAGAAAUCGCCAACACAGUAAACUUCAACAAAAACAACAGCAGCAAUAAGAAGAAGAGAAAAAUAUAAUAGUCAGCGAGCACUCUCUGUUGUUGUUGUGUUUUUCAUGCAGUUCUUGUUGUUGUCGCUGCCGGCGUACACGCAUUUCUCACCAUAUUUGGCCGCUUGCAAGAUCAUCUCGCACACAUCCUGUUGCAUCGCAUUGUCGCAAUCUCGCUGUUUUGCUGAUUGUAUGGCAUUACAAUUCUAAAUCAACUGCAAGGAUUUCUUUCUCUCAAAAGUUAUUGGUCAACAAACCGCGCCGCCGAAAUGGCCAAUUUACGGUGAUCGCUACACAGAAAUUGCACUGGAUUUAGUCUUCCCAAAGCAAGAUGGCAAGCAAUUGCAGCUGCUGCAGCCGCUCGAUCGCGAUGAGGAGAUUCUGAGACACAUUGUCUUUCAGGUUUCCUGUUCGAUUCGCAACGCAACCAACAAGCGACGCAGCAUUCCGCUUAUUGUGCGUGUAUCUGUUGUCAACAACAAUGCGAAGCGCUUCAUGAACACCCUAUGAGGUCACCGUGCCGGAGAGCACUCCGGUCGGCACGACGAUUUCCGCCACAUUCAGGCGCUGGACAAGUAUGCUGGUGUUAAUGGACUCGUCGAGUAUUUUAUUGUUGAGGGCAAAACAAACACAACGGAAGAUGAGACAAUGACAAUUGCCGAUGGUUAUGUUACAUUUCCAAUUUCCUUUCCCCAUCAAGGACAGUGGAAAUACUAAGCAAUAACAAUAGCCAAUUGAUGAAAUAGAUAGGUGGCGGCAGCAGUAGCGCAAAUGGUACUACCAGCGUCGGCGUUAGCACAACUGGCGAUUGUGAGCAUACUAUACAAAUAGUCCUACCAAUGAACGCACCAUCAUCGGCCGGAAUCUCCCGAUUUCUGGCGUAAUAAACGGCUCGGAAAUUUUCUCUAGCCAUCGAGUUCUUGUCACAUAUUUAAAAUACCAUACAAAUAAAAUCCGAAUGUUAUUACAUACUUGACGCCACGGCAACGAGCUGAGCUUUUUCCGCCAGGAGGCGAUGCCAGAAGUGUGUUUAGGUAAUGCCUGCCGCUGCCGGUCUCUAAACAACGUUUUUCGGCCUUUUUUGGACUUUUUGUUAUGUUGUAUAGAGAAAGGUAAGUACUUUUUCGAUGUUGCACUGGAUUCGCAUUUUUAUCUACUAAAAUCUGUUGAUAUUGCAUUU
Molecule: long non-coding RNA, 1616 nt
Organism: Bactrocera latifrons
Lineage: Eukaryota; Metazoa; Arthropoda; Insecta; Diptera; Tephritidae
Exons: 5
Source: RefSeq, a predicted model, not a curated record